CGGUGCCAGCAGCCGCGGUAAUUCAGCUCCAAUAGCGUAUAUUAAAGUUGUUGCNGUUAAAAGCUCGUAGUUGAAUUUCGGGGUUAGUAGGUUGGUCAUGCCUCUGGUAUGUACUGGUCUCACUGAUUCCUCCUUCCUGAUGAGCCGUAAUGCCAUUAAUUUGGUGUUGCGGGAAUUUGGACUGUUACUUUGAAAAAAUUAGAGUGUUUAAAGCAAGCUAACGCUUGAAUACAUUAGCAUGGAAUAAUGAAAUAGGACGUUCGAUCCUAUUUUGUUAGGUUUCUAGGAUUGACGUAAUGAUUAAUAGGGAUAGUUGGGGGCAUUAGUAUUCAAUUGUCAGAGGUGAAAUUCUUGGAUUUAUUGAAGACUAACUACUGCGAAAGCAUUUGCCAAGAAUGUUUUCAUUAAUCAAGAACGAAAGUUAGGGGGAUCGAAGACGAUCAGAUACCGUCGUAGUCUUAACCAUAAACUAUGCCGACUAGGGAUCGGAUGAUGUUAAUUUUUUAAUGACUCAUUCGGCGCCUUACG
RNAcentral lists this ribosomal RNA (528 nucleotides) under uncultured Glomus. Its description in RNAcentral is "SSU rRNA". It matches the Rfam family "Eukaryotic small subunit ribosomal RNA", at positions 562 to 1092 of the family's 1831-position model. Lineage: Eukaryota; Fungi; Glomeromycota; Glomeromycetes; Glomerales; Glomeraceae. The record is from RNAcentral.